GUGCCGAGGUUGUUCUAUUAUGACCUGAAGAUAACUGUUCAUCAACAGCUAAUGUACUAUGACCAUGUGAGCUUAUCUCUCCAGAGUGGGCCAUCCGGUCUUCACUCUUCAUAAUUAUCCUUUCAACAUCAAAAGCAUGUAUAUUACCAGCAACUCCAGGUAAAGAAUCCUCUGAAGAGGAACGGAGAUGAGAUGGAGAUGAUUCCUCUCUUUG
RNAcentral lists this unclassified non-coding RNA (214 nucleotides) under Hevea brasiliensis (rubber tree). The record is from RNAcentral. Lineage: Eukaryota; Viridiplantae; Streptophyta; Magnoliopsida; Malpighiales; Euphorbiaceae.